Molecule: ribosomal RNA, 375 nt
Filed under: uncultured organism
Description: bacterial SSU rRNA
Rfam family: Bacterial small subunit ribosomal RNA
Source: RNAcentral
CGGGGGGAGCAAGCGUUGUUCGGAGUUACUGGGCGUGAAGGGCGCGUAGGCGGCCACCGCAAGUCGACUGUGAAAUCUCUGGGCUUAACCCAGAACGGUCAGCCGAUACUGCGGGGCUAGAGUGCAGAAGGGGCAACUGGAAUUCUCGGUGUAGCGGUGAAAUGCGUAGAUAUCGAGAGGAACACCUGCGGCGAAGGCGGGUUGCUGGGCUGACACUGACGCUGAGGCGCGAAAGCUAGGGGGAGCGAACGGGAUUAGAUACCCCGGUAGUCCUAGCCUUAAACGAUGAAUGCUUGGUGUCUGGGGUUUUAUAGUCCCCGGGUGCCGUCGCUAACGCUUUAAGCAUUCCGCCUGGGGAGUACGGUCGCAAGACUG